Molecule: ribosomal RNA, 464 nt
Filed under: uncultured bacterium
Lineage: Bacteria
Description: partial 16S ribosomal RNA
Rfam family: Bacterial small subunit ribosomal RNA
Source: RNAcentral
AAUGGACGUUGGCGGCGUGGAUUAGGCAUGCAAGUCGAGCGAGAACCCCGCAAGGGGGGACAGCGGCGAAAGGGACAGUAAUGUGUAGAUUAUCUGCCCUCAGGUCCGGGAUAGCUGCAGGAAACUGCAGGUACUACCGGAUAACAUCUCCGGAUCAAAGGUGUGAUUCCGCCUGAGGAUGAGUCUGCAUCCUAUUAGCUAGUUGGUGGGUUAAUGGCCUACCAAGGCAUUGAUGGGUAGCAGGUGCGAGAGCACGCCCUGCGUCAUUGGGACUGAGACACUAGCAGACACCUACGGGUGGCUGCGGUCGAGAAUGUUCGGCAAGGGGCGCAAGGCUGACCGAGCGACGCGGCGUGUGAGAUGGUGGCCUUCGGGUUGUAAACCACUGUCAGAGAGGAAGAGAUGCAGGUUGGUUCUCCCAUCUGUUUGACAUAGCCUCAGAAGAAGGACCGGCUAAGUUCGUG